AACUCAACAGCAGAGAUUAUACUGCAAUGUUUUGACCAGGUCACUUGCAGUUCAUAUUUUUUAAUAUCAAGUCCAUGAUAUUGCUAAUGGUAAUACACUUGAGUGCAUUUAAGCAGUCAAAUUUAGGUACUGCUGAAACACUAACUCAUUCUGACAUUACUACCAAGCUCCACACCUCUCCUAAAACCCCAGUAUUAAAAUACAUCAUCACUGGAGGGCCUUUUAAGUCCGAAAGGUCCUGACUUGCUCCUAGCAAUGCAGACUAAAGACAAUCCUAAAUCAAAACAAAAAGGC
Molecule: long non-coding RNA, 294 nt
Filed under: Homo sapiens (human)
Lineage: Eukaryota; Metazoa; Chordata; Mammalia; Primates; Hominidae
Description: non-protein coding lnc-TPGS2-2:1
Source: RNAcentral